ACUCAGUACAGAUUCAUAUAAUGCGGUAUUUUAGAGGAACCAAUUAACAGUACUAAGUGAAGUAUUCCUGUACUUACUUUCUUUGAUGAGUCAACAGAAAUCUCAUUCCAUUCACUCUUUUCAAGUGAUGAGCAGGAAAAUGAAUGGACUUUGCAUAGAAAAAUUUUAAUUGGAGAACAAAAUGCCUUAUUAAGAUGCAACCUAAAUUUCUGCUUUAAAAUGAGAUGACUUGUCAUCUAAGACCUGCAGGGGAGAAAAGCAUCUGAUUCUGACAGGAUAAUAUUAAGAGAUAGUGAAAGUUCCUGCAUCUUGUUGAUCCAGAACUGCUUUUGUCAAUCUGUCAGAUGUGUGUAUGAUUGGGUCGCUUCCUAGUUCAGUGAAAGUGGGUCCAGCUUGUAUUAAUUCACAAAUGCAAGAAAUCAGAGGAUUUGCCUAAGUCUUGCUGAUCCAUCAAUUUUUUUGCAAUGAUAGGAAAGAUACUUGAUAGGCUAUUCUCUGACAGUCUAUUCCCAACUUUGGCAAUAAGAAACUUCAUCCUUUUGCAGUUUAGAUUUUGUUCUGACAAGUCAGUUUAUCUUGUCUUACACAGAAUCCAGAGAACAGAGAAACUACUUGUUCAUAUCAAUUGCUGUGGUGGAUGAAUUAAGGAGAGUACUUCUGCCCUCUUCUCUGUUUAAGUUGAUGAGAAGCUUCAUUUGCACACAGACCAUUGAGUUUUCCAUUCUGAUUAUUGUAUGAAGGAGUCUUCAGCAUGAAUCUGCAGGGGUCCUGCAUUGGACCCGUUGUGAAAUGUCUUAGCCAACACUGCAUUGAACUUUGUUAUGCUGGAUGGGAUAUAGUUACUGCCAUGUGCAAAUGAUAUUAUGAUAGUAAUUACCAGCCUGAGUAGAAAAUCAAUGGAAAAGAUGGGCAAUGAAAUGAUAGUGACGCUUGUUUAAUGAGGGUAAAGGAAUAAGCUUUUUUUUAAUUCUGAGAAAUGAAUCCCUGAUUGUGAUGUAAUUGGGUAAGUAUAUUGCUUGGUAAAUCAAUACAUCAGACUUAUGAGCAAACCAUCCAAAGGACAAAUAAGCUUAAAUACCUAGGCAUUCAAAUUGAUCACGUACUGAAGUGGUUAUCAUACCUCAGAAAUUUUGAAAUGGAUGUAUCUAGCGACAGUUCAGCUGUCACAGCUAGUUAGAUUAAAUUACAAAAGUAGGAAGAGUCUUCAUUUCAACUAUAAGAAAAUAAUUGAAAUGUCGACAGGCUGUGCAUGUGGUGUAUAAUGGAACUCAGUCUCAUCAAUGAAGAGAAGUGAAUUGCUGCUGAGAGUGCAAUGUGUUUGAUAGCAUUAAGGAUUAAGAAGGUGCAUAGAAUUGUUUCUGUGCAGGCUCUGUUGGUCUUGACUGUUCUGAUUCCUUUGCCAUUGAAGAGGAUACUAUUUAUUAUGAAUACUGAUUUUGUUUUCCCGAACUUUUUGCUUUCUCGAGAUUCUGGAAUUCCCGAAUUAGUAAUCAGUUACCUCGAGAUUCUAAAAAAUUUUUUGUUAAAAAAUACCUGUUUUUAAUAAGGAUAAAAACAAAAUGAGAAAAAAUCGCG
Molecule: long non-coding RNA, 1575 nt
Filed under: Androctonus crassicauda
Lineage: Eukaryota; Metazoa; Arthropoda; Arachnida; Scorpiones; Buthidae
Source: RNAcentral